Molecule: ribosomal RNA, 230 nt
Filed under: uncultured bacterium
Lineage: Bacteria
Description: partial 16S ribosomal RNA
Rfam family: Bacterial small subunit ribosomal RNA
Source: RNAcentral
UAAUACAUAAGUAACCUGCCCUAGACAGGGGGAUAACUAUUGGAAACGAUAGCUAAGACCGCAUAGGUACGGACACUGCAUGGUGACCGUAUUAAAAGUGCCUCAAAGCACUGGUAGAGGAUGGACUUAUGGCGCAUUAGCUGGUUGGCGGGGUAACGGCCCACCAAGGCGACGAUGCGUAGCCGACCUGAGAGGGUGACCGGCCACAUUGGGACUGAGACACGGCCCAG